Molecule: transfer RNA, 76 nt
Filed under: Acidithiobacillus sulfurivorans
Lineage: Bacteria; Pseudomonadati; Pseudomonadota; Acidithiobacillia; Acidithiobacillales; Acidithiobacillaceae
Description: tRNA-Thr
Rfam family: tRNA
About the family: Transfer RNA (tRNA) molecules are approximately 80 nucleotides in length. Their secondary structure includes four short double-helical elements and three loops (D, anti-codon, and T loops).
Source: RNAcentral
GCCGGUUUAGCUCAGUUGGUAGAGCAUCUGCCCUGUAAGCAGAGGGUCGCUGGUUCGAUGCCGGCAACCGGCUCCA